AUUGAACGCUGGCGGCAGGCUUAACACAUGCAAGUCGAGCGGGGUGAUGGUGCUUGCACUAUCACUUAGCGGCGGACGGGUGAGUAAUGCUUAGGAAUCUGCCUAUUAGUGGGGGACAACAUCUCGAAAGGGAUGCUAAUACCGCAUACGUCCUACGGGAGAAAGCAGGGGAUCACUUGUGACCUUGCGCUAAUAGAUGAGCCUAAGUCGGAUUAGCUAGUUGGUGGGGUAAAGGCCUACCAAGGCGACGAUCUGUAGCGGGUCUGAGAGGAUGCGACUCCACAGUGGGACUGUGACACGGCCCAGUGUCCUACGGGAGGCAGCAGUGGGGAAUAUUGGAGAAUAGGGGGAACCCUGAUCCAGCCAUGCCGCAUGUGUGAAGAAGGCCUUAUGGUUGUAAAGCACUUUAAGCGAGGAGGAGUCUCUUUUGGUUAAUACCCAAGAUGAGUGGACGUUACUCGCAGAAUAAGCACCGGCUAACUCUGUGCCAGCCGCCGCCGUAA
This 503-nucleotide ribosomal RNA is filed under the name uncultured bacterium. Its description in RNAcentral is "partial 16S ribosomal RNA". It matches the Rfam family "Bacterial small subunit ribosomal RNA", at positions 30 to 523 of the family's 1533-position model. The record is from RNAcentral.